RNAcentral lists this ribosomal RNA (401 nucleotides) under uncultured bacterium. RNAcentral describes it as "bacterial SSU rRNA". It matches the Rfam family "Bacterial small subunit ribosomal RNA", at positions 975 to 1375 of the family's 1533-position model. The record is from RNAcentral.
CGGGGCUUGACGUGCACCGGACCGUCAUGGAGACAUGGCUUCCCUUCGGGGCUGGUGCAUUAGGUGCUGCACAGCUGUCGUCAGCUCGUGCCGUGAGGUGUUGGGUUAAGUCCUCUAACGAGCGCAACCCCUAUCCACAGUUGCCAUCAGGUGAUGCUGGGCACUCUGCGGAGACUGCCGGUGACAAACCGGAGGAAGGUGGGGAUGACGUCAAGUCAGCGUGGCCCUUACGUCCCGGGCUGCAAACGUGCUACAAUGGCUGGUACAAAAGGCCGCAAUACCGCGAGGUGGAGCAAAUCCUCUAAAACCAGUCUCAGUCCGGAUUGUAGUCUGCAACUCGACUGCAUGAAGUCGGAAUCGCUAGUAAUCGCGGAUCAGCACGCCACGGUGAAUACGUUCCC